CUGCAGUCGAAGCUGAAGCUUGGGUGCUUGCAUCUGGGUGGAUGAGUGGCGAACGGGUGAGUAAUACGUGAGUAACCUGCCCUUGACUCUGGGAUAAGCCUGGGAAACUGGGUCUAAUACUGGAUACUACAUUCUCUCGCAUGGGGGUGUGUGGAAAGGGUUUUACUGGUUUUGGAUGGGCUCACGGCCUAUCAGCUUGUUGGUGGGGUAAUGGCCUACCAAGGCGACGACGGGUAGCCGGCCUGAGAGGGUGACCGGCCACACUGGGACUGAGACACGGCCCAGACUCCUACGGGAGGCAGCAGUGGGGAAUAUUGCACAAUGGGCGAAAGCCUGAUGCAGCGACGCCGCGUGAGGGAUGACGGCCUUCGGGUUGUAAACCUCUUUCAGCACGGAAGAAGCGAAAGUGACGGUACGUGCAGAAGAAGCGCCGGCUAACUACGUGCCAGCAGCCGCGGUAAUACGUAGGGCGCAAGCGUUGUCCGGAAUUAUUGGGCGUAAAGAGCUCGUAGGCGGUUUGUCGCGUCUGCUGUGAAAGCCCGGGGCUUAACCCCGUGGUGUGCAGUGGGUACGGGCAGACUAGAGUGCAGUAGGGGAGACUGGAAUUCCUGGUGUAGCGGUGAAAUGCGCAGAUAUCAGGAGGAACACCGAUGGCGAAGGCAGGUCUCUGGGCUGUUACUGACGCUGAGGAGCGAAAGCAUGGGGAGCGAACAGGAUUAGAUACCCUGGUAGUCCAUGCCGUAAACGUUGGGCACUAGGUGUGGGGGACAUUCCACGUUUUCCGCGCCGUAGCUAACGCAUUAAGUGCCCCGCCUGGGGAGUAC
RNAcentral lists this ribosomal RNA (824 nucleotides) under Kocuria sp. RODV12. RNAcentral describes it as "bacterial SSU rRNA". It matches the Rfam family "Bacterial small subunit ribosomal RNA", at positions 55 to 883 of the family's 1533-position model. Lineage: Bacteria; Bacillati; Actinomycetota; Actinomycetes; Micrococcales; Micrococcaceae. The record is from RNAcentral.